This 488-nucleotide ribosomal RNA is filed under the name uncultured bacterium. RNAcentral's name for it is "partial 16S ribosomal RNA". It matches the Rfam family "Bacterial small subunit ribosomal RNA", at positions 28 to 507 of the family's 1533-position model. The record is from RNAcentral.
GACGAACGCUGGCGGCGUGCUUAACACAUGCAAGUCGAACGAAAAUACCAAGCUUGCUUGGUUGAUUAGUGGCGAACGGGUGAGUAACACGUGAGUAACCUGCCCCUUACUUUCCUGGAUAACUGCUCGAAAGGGUAGCUAAUACGGGAUAUUCAGACCAGCCUGCAUGGGUUGGUUUGGAAAGGUUGUUUUUCUGGUAAGGGAUGGGCUCGCGGCCUAUCAGCUUGUUGGUGGGGUGAUGGCCUACCAAGGCUUUGACGGGUAGCCGGCCUGAGAGGGUGGACGGUCACACUGGGACUGAGAUACGGCCCAGACUCCUACGGGAGGCAGCAGUGGGGAAUAUUGCGCAAUGGGCGCAAGCCUGAUGCAGCGACGCCGCGUGAGGGAUGAAGGCCUUCGGGGUGUAAACCUCUUUCGUCAGGGAACAAGGCACUGCUUUUUUGGUGGUGUUGAGGGUACCUGGAUAAGAAGCGCCGGCUAACUACGUG